Molecule: RNA transcript, 1526 nt
Organism: Carassius auratus (goldfish)
Lineage: Eukaryota; Metazoa; Chordata; Actinopteri; Cypriniformes; Cyprinidae
Gene name: A-kinase anchor protein SPHKAP-like
Exons: 3
Source: RefSeq, a predicted model, not a curated record
AGCUGUCGCUAUGCGUUCUGUGCAUCAAACGAAACCGCAGUGACGUAGAGUUCCCCCGCUGUUUUGAUAAUGUCUGACCGGUGCAUAGCCUUAUCUGGCAUUCACUACAGUCAGUGCAGCUCUCGCUGGAAAUUCCUCCGCUGCUCUGACAGACUGUGAUGCGCUCGCGCUCGCGGCUCGCGCUCGGGACAGGGGCACCGGCACGCGCCACAGCGCUGGGCUUCUUGGCACGCAGGAUAAUAUAGGAACAUAAGGCUAUUUAGUGAUCGGUUUUUUUCUUGGAGGAGUGGCAGAAACCCAGUGCCUUCUGAAAAUUUUGGGUAAUUUCCAAUCGUCUGCCAUGUUUGAGGGGUCUGAGUCCGCGGACACACAGGAAGUCAAAUCUGAGAGCACCCUUGGGCCCUCUGUCUCCGCCUGCAGGAAGGUUUUGUGCAGUAACAGUGUUCUGGAUUCGUCGGAGUACUGGCUGAAGAACGAUAAGGCGCUCUGCAGAACGGGGUUCCUGGAGGACCAGCAGGACGGCGGCUGCCCUACAGUGAGUCUCUCUCAGAAGUGCUCUGUCCAUACGUUUGAUUAACGGUGUGUGUGUGUGGAAAGUGCAGUGGCAUUUAUAUUGUGCUCAGCCUCCCGCUGAUAAAUGUGCUCUUGAUUGGGGUGAUUGUGUGGUGUGAUGUUAGCUGUGGCUGAAUAAUAUAUACAGUAAUUCUCUGAACUGAGAGAAUACAUUUAGCUGCACUAACUGUGGGAUGGGAUAAUUAGAGCCUAAUCACAGAUUUUAUACCUCACUUUACUUUAAUGACAAGUUUCUUGUCUGAUGUAAAUGACGGCUCUGCACCCAUCUCACUGUGCAUAACAUCAUGCCAUGAUCUCGCUAGCAUUACUGCUUCUUGGGGAUAAAACGCUACAUGUCUGAUUAUUUGCCUAAUGCUAAUUUUAUGGAAAAUUAGUGCUAGGAUUUUUCAGUGUUGCAAGCCUUUCCUUUAUAUUUUUGGUUAUGUCUGGAGCAUUUUACUAGAAUUCAACUAAUUGGAAUUAUGAAUUUAGUUUGGGAAAUUCAGCAGACUUCAGAUACUCAGUUCUGAUUGACUAGAAUGUGUGAUAUGUCAGCAUGCAUUUAUUUUGGCCUCUUCACUGACAGCCAUAAAAAAAAAAAAAAAAAAAAAAAUUGACCUAAAAAAAAAUUUGUCAACCUAUUGCAGACAUCUUCUUUAAUCAACUAGUUAUCGAGGCUUCUUCAUGGAGCAUUGAAACCUUUGUGAAUAAUUUGUUUCUUAUUAAAUGUCUAUGGUUUGGCGCUCUGUGAACCCAUGAACCAGUGUCUAUAUGUUUUUACCUCAUCUCAGACCAGUUUUCUACAUUUUCAGACUUUUUUCUCGCAAUUCUGACUUUUUUCUAGUUUAUAUUUAACAGUUUUAACUUUUCUUUUUUAUCUUCUUGUGAGUUUCUGUCUCAAAAUUAUGUUUGUAUCUCCCAGUUCUGCAUUUUAUCUCGCAAUUCUGACUGUAUUUCUGCAUGUAUUUAUACUU